CAAUAACCAAUGAUGGAGAACAGUAGUUAAGAACCACAUGAAAAGAGAGGAAAUGCCUCAGGCUGAAAACAUUUCCGCAUGCUGCCUUAAUGAAUGAACACUCCGUAGGCUUCACUCUGAAAAAGAUAUCUUUAGUAGGAGAUGGACGUAGACAGGCGUUAACUGUUUUAAAGAGGAAGCAUGAUUCUGUGCUUCAACUAGGGUGGCACCACGGGAAUUCAAACUCUCGUCCCUUGU
RNAcentral lists this non-coding RNA (237 nucleotides) under Bacillus sp. (in: firmicutes). RNAcentral's name for it is "Bacillus sp. T-box sequence". It matches the Rfam family "T-box leader". Rfam says of the family: Uncharged tRNA acts as the effector for transcription antitermination of genes in the T-box leader family. T-boxes are found upstream of many aminoacyl-tRNA synthetase genes and some amino acid biosynthetic genes usually in Gram-positive bacteria. The anticodon of a specific tRNA base pairs to a specifier sequence within the T-box motif, and the NCCA acceptor tail of the tRNA base pairs to a conserved bulge in the T-box antiterminator hairpin. Lineage: Bacteria; Bacillati; Bacillota; Bacilli; Caryophanales; Bacillaceae. The record is from RNAcentral.